GUGCGGCGGAGGCGGGCGGGAGCCAGGAGGUCGCGCCGCAGCUCGCGUGACGCACCGCGGGGCCUCGCCCGGGUGUUCGCUCCGCCGCCUGUCCGCGGAUCCGCGCUGCGAGCCCCGCGGCUGCCUGCGGGACACCUGAGCGCGGAGGGUGCGGCACGUUGGCACCUUGAUCCUGUGGCAGGGACAUCUCGGCCCAGGAAAGAAUGAGGUUUAGGCACGGCCUAACCACCUAAGUGAGGGCACUGAAGCUGCCGGGGGAAGGGCAAGGUCCGCGUUGCAGAGCCCAAGCCCAGUGGCGCAGGAUUUGUUUUGGUCUCAGUUUGCUUCAUCUGUGGAAUGGAGAUGGUUUCCUAUGUGAUCAUGAAAAUUUCUCCCAGCUCUGAAGACCUUUUAUUUUGUAAGAAUCAUUGUGAAGACCAAAGAUGUGGCCCUUAUGCCCGUGGAAGCUUUUAAUUGUCUCUUUUGGAAACUAGUUUUGAUUCUUCAUAAUCACGUCUGUUUGAGGACACGGACGAUCAAUAUGCCUUUCCAGUAAAGCUAACAAAAAACAAAACAAAAUAAAACCAUAUCCAACAUACUAAACAGCUGUCUCCAAGAUCAGAAGGCAUCAGAAAAGACCCUCAAGAGUUGUCUAAUCCCAGAGGAAGAUCUUGUUUAAGUGGAGAAGUGCUCACAGCAGAAACCUUGGAAAUUUCAGGGAGUGGAAUUUUAUUGUCAGAACUUUCAAUAAAAGUGUAGCCACAGAUCCUGGGAGCAUUAAAUAAAAAUUACCAACAAGCUGUCUUACCUGUGUGCACUCCACUGAAAGGAAGGGCAAACAUGAGCAAGGAGCUCUUGUACAUCAGUCAAAAUUCUGACAGCUACCCUGUGAAGUUUGACGGGCUGCCAUGUGCUAGACUACCUAAGAUACUCUUAACUGAACCAUAAAAAGACAAAUAAAUUAGUAAUUGUAUCCCUCCUGUCAAUGUCCUUUUUCGUGAACUUCUCAAGGUGUUGGUUAACAUUGUCUGGAAUGAUUUAUCAAUAUAUUCUUAGCUUUCUUAGAAAAGACAGAUAGACUUGAUUUUUUUCCAAAUUGUUUUUUGAAUUGAUUUAAGAAAAUGAUACAGAUAUUGCCAAUUGCUGGGCCUCUCUUUUUCACUCCCUGCUCUGCCUCCUCCGAUUAUUAAAUCAAACCAAUAAGAUUAACAUAAUCUUUCUUAGAAUUGACUGUUCUUUUUAAAUAGAUCCCAUGAUAGACAUGUGUAAAAAUCAAUAACAGCCUCCUCAUUUGUCAAAGCUAAUGACUAAACUCAUUUUGAAGUUCAAUAGUGGUUACUGGAGAGUGGCCACACAUUAUAUAUCUAAUCCUGUAUGUCUCGACACUUAUUCUGCAGAACAGAGGAAAAGGCUUUGUUGCUUGAGGCACAGUAUAAAAGCUGGUGUCUCCAUUGUAUUUGUACAUAUUCACAUUUCCUCCAAACUAUGACAAUUGUUGAUUGUCCAAGCUAAUACAUUAAAGGAAAUAAAAGGAAAAAUAAAUCUGGUAAAUUUGUAACACUCCCCACCCCACCUUUUAGCUAAUUCAAUUAAUUGUAAGUUCCUUCAAUUAUAUGCUUAACUCCUUGAGGUUGCGAAAUAUGUCUUACAUAUUUUUAAUAUCCCCAGACACACUAACGUAGUGAUUGGGUCACAGGCUAGCAUGAAAUAAAGAUUUUGUUGAAUUACAGAGAAUUAUAUUAUCCAAUACUUUGGACAAUGGCAUAGCAGUUAUUUUAGACCAGACACUUUUAUCCAGUGUAAAGUGCAAAAGAUGCAGCUUUCCUGCAGACUUCUCUUUGAUAGAUGCUUUGCAUCACAGGGUGGUUUAAAUAGUGUUUGCUUCUGAGGUGUUCCUGCUACCUUCCACAAAGCCUUUUCCAGGCACUGCAAAAGUGUGAGAGCUAACAGCUUUUGGUAUAAUACUCUCUUCCUUUUCAAAUAUCCUCUGAUUAUAGAUAAAUGCCAGCAACAGAGCAUCUUAAAAUCCAGAAUAGGUAUUUGGAUGAAAUAUAGGCAUGACAUGUAGCCCUGAACUAAUUGAGAUUACAUUUAAAAAUUAUUAAUAAAAACACUAUCUUAUAUCUGCAUAAUGCUUUAUGCUUUACAAAGGUUCUUCAUAUAUCCCAACUCAUUUUCUCAUUUUCUCACCCCAAGUCACAACACUUAAUAAAUAUUUCUUUCAUUUCCCUAAAAAUUCCAGAUUGGGGUUUACUGUUCUGUCCUCCUUCCUUCAUCAGCAAGUUGCCUUUUUCUGGGCUCCAGGUUGUAUAUUGUAUUGCAUGCCCAUUGAGCAUGGCCAUCUCUUGGAAUCAAUAGGUCAGAUACAAUUUGAAACUCCCUAGGUAAUGGAUUUUAAAAACUGCUUGAGGGUGGGGGAGAGAGAGGAGGAAAAGGAAUCCACAGGAACAAUAACUGAAGUGGAGUGAUAUAUUCCUGGUGGGAGCUGGAGAACUGUUCUUUAUAAUAGCUUCUCAGGGGAGAAGCCGCCCUUUUCCAGCAGGAGGUGUCCUGGGAAUAGCAGAGCCACUGCCAUUCCAUUCUUCUGAUGAACAGAAACCUUAUCAGUGUAAUUCCCCUUGAAAGCUGAUGGGAGAGGGAAGGAGUUUAAAGACGUGAAAAAUUUGGGUUGUGAGGGGUGGAAAGCCCAGACUCCAGCUUGUUCAUUUGGAAUAUUUCUUGUGAGGGAGAAGAUAUUCUGCCAAAUUUAGGGUCCUUUCAGAGCUCACAGAUUCUGACAGCUGAUCUAAGUUCAGUGCAUGAGUUUAUCCUUGCCAGGGAGAGAGGGAGCAGUAAGUGAAAAGAAUGUUUUAUGAAUUAAAUACAAAGUAUAAAAACCAAAAUGCUUGCCUCCAAUAUAUCACUAUGUGCUAAUAUUUUCAGUUGCGGCUAUGCAAUAAGGAUGUCAAAGCAUUAGUCUUUAAAUAAUAAGGCGCAUCAAUAAUUUUGACUUUAGAAUAAAACACAGACACCUUGCAUUUGCA
Long non-coding RNA from Pongo pygmaeus (Bornean orangutan), 3002 nucleotides. RefSeq lists it as uncharacterized. The record is from RefSeq and is a predicted model, not a curated record. The transcript is spliced from 4 exons. Lineage: Eukaryota; Metazoa; Chordata; Mammalia; Primates; Hominidae.